AAAUUCCGUAACAUCGCUUUGCUAUUGACCAAUCGAAGCUCACAACAAUUUCCAGCCCCUAAUGGAUUGGCUUUUGAUAUCUCACACUACCUAUGCUAGCCUGUUUGCACCAAUAGAGAGCGAUGUAUGCGUGGCUACCGGAUCUUGCCAGUUAGGAGCUGAAACUAACAAAUGUCACCAGUCAACAAUCCUAUUUUAGAAACUGAAAACAUGAAACAUAGAAGAGUUUGUGUUUUUUUAAUUUUCUUAGGAUGAGUGGGAUGUUUUCAGUCACUCCUCUCAUACCCACUUGCCGGUUUAUUAAAACACAGAGCCGAGAUGCCACUGAGCAUUCUCACAAGCGCGCGAUGAUUACUGUAUGUAGAAUAAUCAUUUGCUAUAAAAUGCCAUGUAAUAUAAUAGUUUAGACUGGGAAAGACAGGUACAAAGAAGCUUAAUAUUGGACAGUGUGUCAAGACAUUGUACAAACCAGUAAUGGAUGGAGAAGUUCACGUGGAGACGGAGAUGGAGUACGUCACUGUUCGGGCGCAUCCUCUCCGGAGAAGCUGGAGGCUGGCGGUGGUCCUGUCUGUUCAGAACGCGCUCGUGGCAGUUUGUUUGGCUGUAAGCUUCUAUUGCUUCUGGCUUGAGCAUCAACGUGUGUCUGAGAGGCCGGAGGAGAGUGAGAUCUACAUCCACUUUGACCCUGUUACAGUCUCUGCAGACAUCCCAGACAAUACGCCAGUCAGUUUUAAGAGGUACGUUAACCAUACAAUGAAUCUCAGCGGCGAUACUGGGAUUCAGAUCAGGUGUACUGGUCCUUACAUGCUGUACAUGGAGGUGUGCAGUGAGGGUCUGGAUGGACAGUUAGGCAACGGGACCCUGGAGCUGAGGGAGGGGAGUCGGGAGCUGGCCAGCUUCAGCCUGCAGGCCAGAGAAGAGGACUGUAGGGAUUCUCUCCUCCACCAGACAGUGUACCUCAGGAAGGGGGAGAUCGCCACUCUACACUUCACCUCGAAAGGCAAGAACAACUUGAUGGUGAAGAAGCUGACUCUGGGACUGCACUACCUGCUGGGGACACAAUGUCAGCACUGAGGGGCUGGGGACAACACACAUGCGCGCACGCACACACACACACACACACACACACACACACACACACACACACACACACACACACACACACACACACACAGGCUUGCACAAGAACAGCAUUUUUAUAAAGAUGAUAUUCAGGGAAUGAUGAUGAAUGUAGAAAUACAAAUUAUUUUUCGAUAUGAUAUCAACUGUCAUGUAAUUAACUUUCAUGAAAAUGAUUCCAUUGGUCUUCAUAGUAGAUCACAUAGUUGAUAAUAAGGUGCAUGAGCUUUCGGUUUUAAUGCAACUUUUAUGGUAAUAAGCCAUUGUAUUUAAUGCCAAUAAAUCAUUGUUUCUGUGUAGUAUGUGGUUAAAAGUAUAGGUGAUUGAAAUCUAUAUACUGAUGUUUCUUCUAUUUGUUUAUCGUUAUUGUCAUAUUGUACAUUUUGAGAAUAAGAAGUCUUGUACAUCUUUAAAAUGUGUGUCACAUCAGAGUACUGUAUUUCCUGUCCCUGAUCACUGACUGGAACUGUUAGUUUAGUAUCACUCUUGCCUUACUAUUUACUUUCAUCUUUCUCCCUCUCGCUCGGUUUUGACAUCAUUGUAUCAGUGUACAGAGAUGUAUUACAUAUGACUGCUCUGAAAGUGAAAGUAACAAAUGUUUUUAUUGGUUUUGAUUCGGCUGGUUUUCACUACUGUUUCUGUUGCUGCUGUUGUGACCUUUAUGCACUUCUCCUUUUUCCAUUAGAAACCCUUUUGUACUCUUUUUGUUUCAUAAAUAAAAUGAGAAGAUGAAACCUCUGUUUAACUGAUAUCUCAGCUGAGUGUUCUACAGUAGUGGUUCCUAACCAUGGGUACUAGGACCCCUGUGGGUACUUGGCCUAUCCACAGAGGGUACUUGAGAAGACUCAUGAGACCAUAGGCCUACUGGUAAGAUGCACAUGAGGGGGUACAUCAGGGGUACUCCGGGCAAAGCUACAGUGCCUUGCGAAAGUAUUCGGCCCCCUUGAACUUUGCGACCUUUUGCCACAUU
Oncorhynchus tshawytscha (Chinook salmon) is the source of this 2089-nucleotide long non-coding RNA. NCBI's taxonomy places the organism in Eukaryota, Metazoa, Chordata, Actinopteri, Salmoniformes, Salmonidae. The record is from Ensembl.